RNAcentral lists this ribosomal RNA (274 nucleotides) under uncultured bacterium. RNAcentral's name for it is "partial 16S ribosomal RNA". It matches the Rfam family "Bacterial small subunit ribosomal RNA", at positions 523 to 796 of the family's 1533-position model. The record is from RNAcentral.
AUACAGAGGGUGCAAGCGUUAUUCGGAAUUACUGGGCGUAAAGCGCGCGUAGGCGGAUGAUUAAGUCAGUUGUGAAAGCCCUGGGCUCAACCUAGGAACUGCAUCUGAUACUGGUCGUCUAGAGUUUAAGAGAGGGAAGUGGAAUUCCAGGUGUAGCAGUGAAAUGCGUAGAUAUCUGGAGGAACAUCAGUGGCGAAGGAGACUUCCUGGCUUAAAACUGACGCUGAGGUGCGAAAGCGUGGGUAGCGAACGGGAUUAGAAACCCCUGUAGUCC